ACGUUUUUAGUCUCACAAUGGAUUUUGAGGAGCCCCUUUUCUUAUAGUGCUGUGAUAAUACAAACAUACAGCCUCCUUAAUAUCUACACAUAUUAUUUGAAAGACUGAAGACGGAGCGUUCUGCAUGAAAGGUGUACUUUAUUAUUGUCAGUGACAUGGCACACAACCAUUGGUUGAUGCAAUGUGGCGUGUCAAUUGUAGGCGGCCUCGUACAAAUUCAGUGGGCUGGGCUGCAGAGGAAGUCAGCAUUUCUUCCGAAUCUCUCUCCCCAAGUUCUCAAUGGGAGCAGAGACUAUCGCACAGUGCCAUAGAGAGACACCGAUGAAGUGUCAGUCAUGCUGGUGGCUGGCAGAGACGGCAGAGCAGAGCGUGACAUGCCAGUGUUUUUUCCUGAGGGGAUGUGUGUUUUCUUGGUCUUGGAUCCAAAGCAGGGCGGUGUAACUGGGUGAUUCAACAUCACUGUUAUAGUGAUAGGAAGAGACACGGAGGAUUUUGCAACAAGUGCAAGUUCGGAGGCUCAUCAUUUGAAGACGGAAAAGUGGUGCUGGUGAACCCUUGUACACAUAACCAGGCCUCUAUCCCAUAUAGAGGCAGGAGGACAGUCUCACCAGUAAGGAGGACCAGCCAUGUCUGGUACUAUAAGCAAUGUUCCUAAUAACAGUACUUUGUACCACUCAGACAAGAGCCUCACUGACACAGACCUGUGCAUAUGGAGCGUGGCUAUGGUCCUAAUAAUGGUUGUGCUGUCACUUGUCUGCUGCUUGUGUUACAUAUAUGUACUAUGUGCAAGGAAGACAAGAUACACCAUACUGCCUUUGAUUUCGGUGUGAUUCUAUUAUGUGCAUGUGAUGUUACUCAGUUGACCUGCUAAUAAACAG
Molecule: long non-coding RNA, 878 nt
Filed under: Salmo salar (Atlantic salmon)
Lineage: Eukaryota; Metazoa; Chordata; Actinopteri; Salmoniformes; Salmonidae
Description: lncRNA (ENSSSAG00000122296.1)
Source: RNAcentral